This 253-nucleotide ribosomal RNA is filed under the name uncultured bacterium. RNAcentral's name for it is "partial 16S ribosomal RNA". It matches the Rfam family "Bacterial small subunit ribosomal RNA", at positions 524 to 776 of the family's 1533-position model. The record is from RNAcentral.
CACGUAGGGCGCAAGCGUUGUCCGGAAUUAUUGGGCGUAAAGAGCUCGUAGGCGGCUUGUCGCGUCGUCCGUGAAAACCCACAGCUCAACUGUGGGCUUGCGGUCGAUACGGGCAGGCUAGAGUUCGGUAGGGGAGACUGGAAUUCCUGGUGUAGCGGUGAAAUGCGCAGAUAUCAGGAGGAACACCGGUGGCGAAGGCGGGUCUCUGGGCCGAUACUGACGCUGAGGAGCGAAAGCGUGGGGAGCGAACAGG